Molecule: ribosomal RNA, 423 nt
Filed under: uncultured bacterium
Lineage: Bacteria
Description: bacterial SSU rRNA
Rfam family: Bacterial small subunit ribosomal RNA
Source: RNAcentral
AAGACCUUGCGCUUUUGGAGCGGCCGAMGUCUGAUUAGCUUGUUGGUAAGGUAAAAGCUUACCAAGGCUUCGAUCAGUAGCUGGUCUGAGAGGACGGCCAGCCACACUGGGACUGAGACACGGCCCAGACUCCUACGGGAGGCAGCAGUGGGGAAUUUUGGACAAUGGGGGCAACCCUGAUCCAGCCAUGCCGCGUGAGUGAAGAAGGCCUUCGGGUUGUAAAGCUCUUUCAGCCGGAACGAAACGGUUACGGUUAAUACCCGUGACUACUGACGGUACCGGAAGAAGAAGCACCGGCUAACUACGUGCCAGCAGCCGCGGUAAUACGUAGGGUGCAAGCGUUAAUCGGAAUUACUGGGCGUAAAGCGUGCGCAGGUGGUUUUGUAAGUCAGAUGUGAAAUCCCCGGGCUUAACCUGGGAACU